This 497-nucleotide ribosomal RNA is filed under the name uncultured bacterium. RNAcentral describes it as "partial 16S ribosomal RNA". It matches the Rfam family "Bacterial small subunit ribosomal RNA", at positions 28 to 507 of the family's 1533-position model. The record is from RNAcentral.
GACGAACGCUGGCGGCGUGCCUAAUACAUGCAAGUUGAGCGCUGAAGGUUGGUACUUGUACCAACUGGAUGAGCAGCGAACGGGUGAGUAGCGCGUGGGGAAUCUGCCUUUGAGCGGGGGACAACAUUUGGAAACGAAUGCUAAUACCGCAUAAAAACUUUAAACACAAGUUUUAAGUUUGAAAGAUGCAAUUGCAUCACUCAAAGAUGAUCCCGCGUUGUAUUAGCUAGUUGGUGAGGUAAAGGCUCACCAAGGCGAUGAUACAUAGCCGGCCUGAGAGGGUGAUCGGCCACAUUGGGACUGAGACACGGCCCAAACUCCUACGGGAGGCAGCAGUAGGGAAUCUUCGGCAAUGGACGAAAGUCUGACCGAGCAACGCCGCGUGAGUGAAGAAGGUUUUCGGAUCGUAAAACUCUGUUGGUAGAGAAGAACGUUGGUGAGAGUGGAAAGCUCAUCAAGUGACGGUAACUACCCAGAAAGGGACGGCUAACUACGUG